Molecule: transfer RNA, 73 nt
Filed under: Canis lupus familiaris (dog)
Lineage: Eukaryota; Metazoa; Chordata; Mammalia; Carnivora; Canidae
Also listed under: 2 other names
Rfam family: tRNA
About the family: Transfer RNA (tRNA) molecules are approximately 80 nucleotides in length. Their secondary structure includes four short double-helical elements and three loops (D, anti-codon, and T loops).
Source: Rfam by way of RNAcentral
GCCUGGCUGGCUCAGUUAGUAGAGCAUGUGACUCUUGAUCUUUGAGUUGUAAGUUCGAGCCUUACGUUGGGUG